GGAGCUGUCUCCAGCCUAGACGAGUGAAGCUUCAGGGGCCUUGCUGGGGACAGGAAUGGGGCCAGAGGGUGGGAGAGCUGCACGCAGGGUUCAGGGACGUCAGGUCAUGGAUCCUGUUACUUCACUUUGAGAGGAGAGACCCUCGUUUGGAAAACAUCACAACACAGAUCAUUCAUUUACGUGCCAGAGAGAAGAAUCUGAGGGGAACUUAGGUAAAUCAGGCACGCACUCACAGCCGGUAAGUGGAAGAGCUGGGA
Long non-coding RNA from Pan troglodytes (chimpanzee), 257 nucleotides. RefSeq lists it as uncharacterized. The transcript is spliced from 3 exons. The record is from RefSeq and is a predicted model, not a curated record. NCBI's taxonomy places the organism in Eukaryota, Metazoa, Chordata, Mammalia, Primates, Hominidae.